UGUUCUCACUAACUGUAAGUUGCUCUGGAUAAGAGUGUCUGCUAAAUGACUCAAA
Molecule: non-coding RNA, 55 nt
Organism: Salmo salar (Atlantic salmon)
Lineage: Eukaryota; Metazoa; Chordata; Actinopteri; Salmoniformes; Salmonidae
Source: Rfam